RNAcentral lists this long non-coding RNA (532 nucleotides) under Macaca mulatta (Rhesus monkey). RNAcentral's name for it is "lncRNA (ENSMMUG00000051911.1)". Lineage: Eukaryota; Metazoa; Chordata; Mammalia; Primates; Cercopithecidae. The record is from RNAcentral.
AUGACAAUGAGCAUCCUGGAAGAGGAAGCCAGGAGCUCAGAAAUGUGUUCAUCUCAGCUGGAGACCAACAGGACUAAGACUGUGAAUUUGAGCCCCAAACGGAGGCAAAGGUUUCUCCACCUCUCACACUCUCUCGCCCCCUCUGAAUUGAGGCCUGAUUCACGCUGCAGUGUUCAUUCUAAGGAGCAAGAAGCAGCUGGAAAAUCCACACUGUUUUCUAUGUUUGCUGUGGGUACUGAGUGGAAUAGCACUCCCCCAAAAUUCAUGCCUAGCCAGGAUCUCAGAAUGUGACCUGAUUUGGGGAUUUGAAAUCAGAAUGUCAAAGAGACAUCUGCGCUCCCAUGCUUUUUGCAGCCCUCUUCACAAUAGCCAAGACGUGAAAUCAAUCUAAGUGUCCGUCAAUGGAUGAAUGGAUAAAGAAAAUAUGGUGUAUAGACAUAGUAGAAUGAUAGUCUUAAAGAAGAGGGAAAUUCUGUCACUUGUCACAACAUAGAUGGACUUGGAGGACCUUAUGCUAAAUGAAAUAAACCAG